UCUCCUAUCGUCUAGUGGUUAGGAUUCAUGGUUUUCAUCCAUGCGACCAGGGUUCGAACCCCUGUGGGAGAA
Molecule: transfer RNA, 72 nt
Rfam family: tRNA
About the family: Transfer RNA (tRNA) molecules are approximately 80 nucleotides in length. Their secondary structure includes four short double-helical elements and three loops (D, anti-codon, and T loops).